Molecule: ribosomal RNA, 730 nt
Filed under: uncultured bacterium
Lineage: Bacteria
Description: bacterial SSU rRNA
Rfam family: Bacterial small subunit ribosomal RNA
Source: RNAcentral
AACAGGAUUAGAUACCCUGGUAGUCCACGCUGUAAACGAUGUCGACUUGGAGGUUGUUCCCUUGAGGAGUGGCUUCCGGAGCUAACGCGUUAAGUCGACCGCCUGGGGAGUACGGCCGCAAGGUUAAAACUCAAAUGAAUUGACGGGGGCCCGCACAAGCGGUGGAGCAUGUGGUUUAAUUCGAUGCAACGCGAAGAACCUUACCUACUCUUGACAUCCAGAGAACUUAGCAGAGAUGCUUUGGUGCCUUCGGGAACUCUGAGACAGGUGCUGCAUGGCUGUCGUCAGCUCGUGUUGUGAAAUGUUGGGUUAAGUCCCGCAACGAGCGCAACCCUUAUCCUUUGUUGCCAGCGGUCCGGCCGGGAACUCAAAGGAGACUGCCAGUGAUAAACUGGAGGAAGGUGGGGAUGACGUCAAGUCAUCAUGGCCCUUACGAGUAGGGCUACACACGUGCUACAAUGGCAUAUACAAAGAGAAGCGACCUCGCGAGAGCAAGCGGACCUCAUAAAGUAUGUCGUAGUCCGGGUUGGAGUCUGCAACUCGACUCCAUGAAGUCGGAAUCGCUAGUAAUCGUGGAUCAGAAUGCCACGGUGAAUACGUUCCCGGGCCUUGUACACACCGCCCGUCACACCAUGGGAGUGGGUUGCAAAAGAAGUAGGUAGCUUAACCUUCGGGAGGGCGCUUACCACUUUGUGAUUCAUGACUGGGGUGAAGUCGUAACAAGGUAACC